RNAcentral lists this transfer RNA (76 nucleotides) under Muiribacterium halophilum (SeqCode). Its description in RNAcentral is "bacterium BM706 tRNA-Phe". It matches the Rfam family "tRNA". From Rfam's summary of the family: Transfer RNA (tRNA) molecules are approximately 80 nucleotides in length. Their secondary structure includes four short double-helical elements and three loops (D, anti-codon, and T loops). The record is from RNAcentral. Lineage: Bacteria; Candidatus Muiribacteriota; Muiribacteriia (SeqCode); Muiribacteriaceae (SeqCode).
GCCAGGAUAGCUCAGUAGGUAGAGCAGGGGACUGAAAAUCCCUGUGUCGGCGGUUCGAUUCCGUCUCCUGGCACCA